RNAcentral lists this ribosomal RNA (511 nucleotides) under Caridina sp. LE. RNAcentral's name for it is "partial 16S ribosomal RNA". It matches the Rfam family "Bacterial large subunit ribosomal RNA", at positions 1819 to 2597 of the family's 2925-position model. The record is from RNAcentral. Lineage: Eukaryota; Metazoa; Arthropoda; Malacostraca; Decapoda; Atyidae.
GUCUGCACGAGGAAAAUAUGUGCAGUCUGACCUGCCCCCUGAGUUUUAAAGGGCCGCGGUAUUUGGACCGUGCUAAGGUAGCAUAAUAAAUAGUCUUUUAAUUGAAGUCUAGUAUGAAUGGUUGGACAUGAAGUGAGCUGUUUUAACUAUGGUGUUUGAAUUUUACUUUUGAGUGAAAAGGCUUAAAUUAAAUGGUGGGACGAUAAGACCCUAUAAAGCUUUACAUUUUAUUCUUUGAUUGAAAGGUUUAGGGUUUCUUAUUUUUAUUUAAUAAAGUGUUUCGUUGGGGCGACGAAAAUAUAAAUUGUAACUGUUUUUGUUUAAAAAAUAUGUUUUUAUAGGUGAGUUGAUCCUUUAUAGAGAUUAUAAGAUUUAAGUUACUUUAGGGAUAACAGCGUAAUUUAUCUUGAGAGUUCAUAUCGACAGAUAUAGUUGCGACCUCGAUGUUGAAUUAAAAUACCCCCUCGGUGUAGCAGUUAAGGCGGUAGGUCUGUUCGACCUUUAAAAUUUU